This 7802-nucleotide long non-coding RNA is filed under the name Ananas comosus (pineapple). Its description in RNAcentral is "long non-coding RNA (ACOM_LNC017646)". The record is from RNAcentral. Lineage: Eukaryota; Viridiplantae; Streptophyta; Magnoliopsida; Poales; Bromeliaceae.
UAUUAUGACAUUUUGCUACUGUGUGAGAUUGGAUCCUUAUAGUUCAUUUGUAUUCUUGUAGUUUAUUUGCUACUUGUAUACUCAUCAAAUAGUGAAUACAAAGAUAUAUCAAAAGCUUGAAUAACAUUCAAGUGGAAUAACUUUUUACUUUUUAAUAACUACAACAUACAAAAAAGAUUGUAAAUAUAAAGAUACAUUAAAAGCUUGAAUAACAUUCAAGUAGAAUAGCCUUUUACUUUUUAAUAACUAUAACACACAAAAUAGAUUGUAAAUACAAAGAUACAUCAAAAGCUUGAAUAACAUUCACGUGGAAUAGCCUUUUACUUUUUAAUAACUGCAACACACAAAAUAUAUUGUAAAUACAAAAUAUACAUCACAUGCAUGAAUAACAUUCAAGUGGAAUAGCCUUUUACAUUCUAAUAACUGCAACACACAAAAUAUAUUGUAAAUACAAAGAUACAUCAAAUGCUUGAAUAACAUUCAAGUGGAAUAGGCUAUUCCACUUGAAUGUUAUUCAUGCAUGUGAUGUAUAUUUUGUAUUUACAAUAUAUUUUGNUAAUAACUGCAACACACAAAAUAUAUUGUAAAUACAAAGAUACAUCAAAUGCUUGAAUAACAUUCAAGUGGAAUAGGCUUUUACAUUCUAAUAAUUGUAACAUACCAAAUAGAUUGAAAUUGAGUUACAUCAAAAAGCCUGCAUUGGCAUUAUAAUGUACACAGGGUUACAUUUGGUAAAAAUGAACAGCACAUGUAUAACAACAUCUCCACCAUGAAGAACGCUCACUAAACCUUAUCGUACUCUUAAAUAGCUGCAUCAUGAUCUUUUUCUCCCGAUAAAAGUUGCAAUCAAAGAAUCCAAAAAUAUUAUAAGAUUGACUAAAACAUAUGAUAUUCAAUAUAAGUAAGUAGCUACAAAUAGCAUUACUUCUCUGCAAGUUCGGAUAUUGUGUCCUUUCUUUUUACAGUGUUGGCAUGUUCUAGCUUUUUUCACUGCCUUUUUAACAGGAGGCUUAUAUCUCUGUGGCUUUCUUUUUCCUUUACAUUGGAAUUGCAGAGGAUUCUUCAACUUGACAAACCCAACACUAUUUGCUUGUGAAAAAAUAGUAGCCGUGUGAUGCUCCACAAUAUUUUCACUUUGAUCUUGUUUCUCUUUCAAAGAUUCAUAGAGCUUGAUAUUCUCAUCAACAAGUUUAUUGAUUUUCUAACAAGCCAUUUCAUAAUUCUCAAAAGUCUUGGAUACCUGAAAUAAAAGUUUUUGCAUUUUUAGUGUAAGUGCAUUAAGUCUUGCUCCUUUGCAUUUGCGGAGUCACCUGUUAACAUACUUUGAAAAUUAAUGCUUGGGGAUCCUUUUUUUGCAUCUUUAGUUCACAUUUUAUAAUGUAGUGGGAAGGAAUUUUAUGCAUUCGACUGUGAAGCAUAACUUUUAAUGUAUAUGAACAUAUAAGGCCACUAAAUUCAAAAAAUUUGCAACUGCAAUUCACUUUUUCCAUAGGUGGAUUUAUAGUAACUAUAAAUGAGUUUAUACCUUAGGCGGUAAGGUAGAGUUUUGUAUUGUGCUAAUCUUGUAGCAAUUGUUCGCCAACUCUGUCAAAUCAUAUCCUAUCGUAUAUUGAAAUUGAUUCUUAAAUUCUGAAAAUACUCAUUUUGUGUUUACACUACGAGCUUGUAUUUCAAUAGGAUUAUGUGACCAUAAACUAGAUUCAUCAUCUCUCGACCGAAAGUCUGCUUUAUACUCCUUAUCAUGGAGACUACUAACCACGUUUUCAAAUUGUAUUACAAGCUUGCAUAAUGAUGUAUGAUUAUUCAUAAACAUUUUCGUUAGAGCAUUCAUACUCUCACUGCGUUGCGAAGUGGUCAUUUCAGCAAAGAAUGUAUCUCUAAAGUAAGUAGGUAGCCAUUGAUGCUGAGCAUUUCACAUAACAUUUAGGUGGUUGUUAUCUUGCAAUCCAUAUUUUUAAAUCAUUAUAAGCCAUCUACUUUCAAACUCCUCGAUUGUUAUGCUAUCAUUAAUGCAUAAAAAUAACUCUUUUUUAAAACCUUCCUACGUGCUAUAAAGGAUACUGAAAUGUUCCUGCGCUCUCUUCAUAAUGUCCUACUAACAAUAUCUAUGCACCGUACGUGUUUGGAAAAGCUUGUUCGAUUUCUUUCCUCAUAGUUGGAUCUUGAUCAGUUAUGAUUGAUAUAGGAUGUUUCUCAUAAACUGCUUGAAGCCAAGUUCUAAAUAGCCAAACAAAAGUAUUAGAAGUUUCAUCCCCAAUGAGAGCACAACCGAAAAUUACAGACUGAAGAUGAUGAUUUACUUAAUGAACAGAGCGAAAGGCAUGGAAUACUUAUUUGUCAUAUAUGUUGUAUCAAAAGUAACAACAUCACCGAAAUUUUGAUAUGCCAUUCUCGAUCUCCCAUCUAUCCAAAAUACGUUGCGUACCAUGUUUUGCUCAUCAACUUCAAUAGUAUAAAAAAAGAAGGAUCUCUAGCUUGGCGCUCACGAAAAUAAUUGAUGGUACUAGAUAUAUAAAUCUUCGAUUACUUAGGUCCUUUCUAGUAAAGUUAAUAUUUUGUGCUCCUCCUUCUCUUACUGCUAUAAAUGAUAUAAUUUGAGUUGUUGAGAUAUUCUACUCACUCAGCAUAUGAAUUUUUUUUUUGUUCGGCUGUUAUUAAACGAUGAGACCAAAGAAAACGGCUUUAGAGGGACUUGCAACUAAAGCACUGUUAUGUUUCCUCACAAAUGCAACAACUUUCCAGUUGCCAUCAUUUGUCCUUUUUACCCUCAAAUGUGCCUUGCAACCUGUUCAUGUGUACCGCAUAUGUUUGUUUGGUGUCCCUUUAUUCUCUUGAUCCCAAACUUUUGGUUUGGAUUGCCCUUCUUUAGAACAAACAUAGUGUAAUGCUAUAACUAUAUUAUCUUUUUUUUCUUGGCUUUGUAGUGGGUAGCUUUUCUUAUACUAAAGCCAAUUUUAUAGGCAUACAAAUUGUAAAAUCUCUUUACUUCUUCUUCAUUCUGAAGAAGUUGUCCAAUAAACGGCUCAUGCUGUGAUGAUUCCAUGUUGCAUUGACUAAUAGAAUCCUUUUCAUGUUGGCUUCGUUCAUGCGUGAAAGAAUCAAAAUCUCUACUUUGAUUUAUCCCAAUAUCACUUGAGGGAUAUUCAGACUCUUCUCUAUAAUUGGAUCUAUUUUCUAGAGCAUCUAAUGUCACGCCCCGGGACCCGGCGGAGGCCCGCCCGGUGCGUGUUCAGACCCGCCAUAUGCUUGCACAUAUAAGGCGUCUAACAACAAUAGAAUAUGAAAGUAAGGAAAAUAAAACAACUAGAGAUAUCAGAGCAAGAGUACAACUAAUUCCAAUCACAAGUAGUAUGCAAAGAAAGAUAAACCACUAGUAAAACAUAAGGUAAUACAACAAUAAGCCUCUAGAUACAAGUACUAGAUAUACAAAAAUGGUGGUCUCUAUACACGGGUACAACUCACUCUCUCUCCAACUAUACAAAAGAAGAGAUAACUACCUAAAAGAAGAGAUCCCUGCGAUCUAGCUAGACGCGACUUCCUUGCUGCGAUUCCUAGCCUCUCCCGGUGUGGAUGGCUUUGAAAGAAAACAUCAAACAUGGGACGUGAGAACUAUAAUUAAUAGUUCCCAGUGGACAAUUACUGGCCUUAGCAAAAAUGCACCACUAGGCCCUAAAGCAAAGUAGAUAAUUCUAACAUUUAAUUGGAAACGAUAGCAUGAAUAUUAGAAUAGGAAAUAAACUUGUUAGCUACUAUGCUGCUACUUAACAGGAAGUUCCAAAAUUGCAAUAGCUAGUCUAACAUGAAUAAGUAUAUAACAUGAAUAUACUAGUAUGCUCUAACAUGUCCAACAAGUAUACUAUGAUGCAACAAGCAACACUAUCAAGUAUACUACAUGUCCAAGUAAGUCAACUAAAUGUCCAGUACUAUGCCACAAGCAUGUUCAAGAAAUCCAACUAUUAUAAACUAUCUAGUAGUGAUUGCCAUAUUAUGGUUUAAUGUCAAUAUCCAAUCUCAUUUUAGGACCUACACAAGUGUAGCACAGCUUGUGCCGCCUAAUGGCCCCAGGUAGUCCAGCAUUCUCUAGGAAUGUGACUGUCCCACGGUGACCCAGUAGGCCCUCAAUCCCGCAAGGGCGAGCAUAAGUCAUGUAGGCCAACUCCGGAGUGCUGGCUUGUAGGGAGCGACCCUCAUAAGUAUGUGCAAAUGAGCACAAAUGGCAAACAAGUAUAGUCAUCGUCUCAAGAACUCGGUCAUCAUGUCUAUAACAUGUAAUAAUCACUAGCAACCCCAAGGUCUAGUUCUAUGUCUCAAAGUAAAGGUUUAGCAUUCAUUGUGUCCAAUGCCCUUUUUAUAGUAUUAGUGUUCACAAAGCCCAACAAUUUCCAAGCUCAAUGCCCUUUUAUGACAUUGUAGCUUACUAAGUUCAUGCAUACACCAAUUUCAAUGCCACUUUAUGACAUUGUUAUCCGCUAUGUCCAAUAUGAGUUCUAAGUUCAAGAGCUUAUUAUAUAAGUCAUGUCAUUGCAAGAAACAUAAUUCCAAACCAUUAAAUAGAAUGCUAACCAUAUGCAAGCCUACAAUGCACAUAUCUCUCUCUACUACAUAGAGGUAAUUUUUUCAUCAUACAUAACAUAUGUAUUUUAAGCAUUCCAAACAUCUCGUAUGCUCUAUCUAGCAUGAAUAUGCAUGCAUUUCUAUUUUACGGCAAUUAAAAAUCGACAUAGGUGGAGUUUUUCCAUUUUCGAUAAGGUCAAACCCACCAAAACUCCUCGGAACCCUUCGUUCGCACAAAAGGAGAUGUCCACUAGCCUCCUAUCUCCCUAAAGGUUAAAUUAGGAGAGUUAAACGCAACGAACGAACACUAAUAGGCUCAAACAUUAACUAACCCAAGAAAAUGGCGAAAACUCACCUUGGAUGGUGAAAUUCUCUCUCAAACUCCAAAUGAGAGUAAGAUCCCUUCAAAUCCCACCUAAACAAAGGUUCUAAACCAUUCAAUUGAAAUCCAAAAGCCUCUAAUCAAAAAUCCCCAAAAUAAACCCUAAAUCUCACAUUCUAGGGUUUCAUCUCAAGAAAUCCCUCAAAUCAUGAAUCAAAAGGUGAAAACAUGAUACUAACCUCUUUAGAAGCUUCAAACAAGGCUAGAAAUCGACUAGGGUUGAAGUUUUUCUCUCCAACAAGUCCCAAACCGAGCUCCAAGUCUUCUCCCAUGGAAGCAAAAGCACUAAGAAGCAAAAAGGGACAAAAAAAGUGAUUAAACUUCAAAAAUCCCAAUUAAAAUCAAAAGAAUCCAAAGAGGGGAAAUGGAGAGCUCUCCUACCUUGUUCUCCACUGGUCCAAGCUCAGGGAAUAAGAGAAGAGGCGUGGGAUACUUGUAGUGUUGCUACAAUUCCACAAACACCUCUCAAAAACUGCCAGACUGCAGUCUACAUGCGUACCGGUACCAUCAGGCAAGAGUACCGGUACCAAGUUAGCCAUUUUGCCAACCCGAGCCUCGGCCGCAUAGGAAAUUGCACUGGUACCGGUACCAGCCCGAUUGUAACGUAUAGAAACCCGAGAACGAUAAUCGAACUUUGACCAAAUUGGUUAAAGUGUCGAAGGAAAGCGUUGGACAAGUUCCUCUUGCAUUCCAAUAAUGUUGGAAGGGCUAAAAAUGAGUUGGGAAGACUUAGAAUGGUUUUGGCGUCAACCGGUGAGAAGUAGAGCCGAAUCGAAGUCAAAAAUUGCAUUCUGGAUGUCUUGUACCGGUACAAGGGUGAUGGUUGUACCGGUACAACCAGCGACCAGAGCUCAGACAGCUCUCGGGUUGGUGCAGUCCCGGUGCUGUACCGGUACAAGGCUCUCUUGUACCGGUACAAAUCCGUCGAAAUCGAGAAACCGAGCUCUCGGGUUGCGCUCGGGUUGGCUGUCACCCAGGCCUUGUACCGGUAAAAGAACCCGUGUACCGGUACAAGGGACCCGAAACAGCAGGGAUGAGUCUGCUGCAGAGAUAAAGUUGAGGGGCCUAAUUGCUAAUGUUACAAUAUGUUAUUGGGCCACCCCUCUCCCUCCCACAGCUAUAGACAUCCCCCUCUCUCAUUUUUCUCUUUCUCUCUCUAGAAAAACCCUAGGGUUUGGUGAAGAAGGUGGAGAAAAGCUUGGAGAAGGUGGAUUUGGAGGCUUGGAUGGAUUUUGUGGCUCUCCAACAAGGUGGACUUUGGUGAGCUUGUGGCCAAGGUGAGUUUGUUGCACAAGAGAGUCUAGUGUUUGGUUUUAAACCUGGGGAUUUAGAGUUUUUUAUCCUCUAAUUAACCUAGAAAUCCUCUAAAGACCAUGACUCCAUGAAAAACAUAGUUUUCUUGGACCCCUCUCAUGGUGGAUCACUAGGGCUCAAAGUAGAUGCCCUAGGGAUGGUUAUAAAAGUUUAGAAACCUUGUUAGAGAGCUUCCCAAGUGAUUCUAAGCUUUCUUUUGCUUAGCAAUGAGAUCAAUCUAGGAGAAAUGCAAAAAUGGCAUGUUAGGGCAUCCUAAAGAGGGGUUUUACCCAAGUUGGGUUUUGAUCUAUUUUGAUCAUGUAGAAAACUAAUUGAAGGUAUUUUAAACGCGUUGGAACGCUCGGUUCGACAAUCCGACGAGUGUACGCAAAGUUAUUGAUAAAAACGUCAUUUUUCGUACAGAUAGCCGCAGCACGCAGACUAGGGCUUCAAAAAUUUCAAGAAAGUCACCGUAGCAUCCUGGUAACCAUCUAAGAUGGGUGGUGCAUUCCAAGGACAUCGGAAAUCUCUUUAUGUCUAAGUGUCAUAUUUUGAGCAUAUGAGUAUAUUAGAGCAUUUUGCAUAAUAGGGUUAAAUUGUGAGCUUUUUGUAGCAUAAUGUGAAUUCAAAUGCAUGUUAAAUGUUUGUAAGAUCGUGAGAAUGACAAUCCCUAUGUAUGCAUGAAGGUGACAAGAACCUAGAAGGGUUAGUAAACAAAAGUGACACAACGACAUAGAUUUGGCGAGUGACAUUGAUGAGUCUAGAGGACUUAGAAAACAAGUGUGGCAUCAAUGACAAAGAACAAGAACAAGUUGUGUACAUGACACUAGUCGAGGUUAGAGAAUGCAAGUAAAUUGGGUUAGUGACAUUAUGACAUACACACCUUAGAGUUAAGGGUCAUAUGUACAUGGUUCUCCUUGAAGUCAAGGAAUGGAUUGAACUUGGAAUCCUUAAAGUUAAGGAUUGAUCGUACUCACCUAAUAGUCCUUGCUCGAGGGCGGUAGCUCCCCCUCGGGCGAUGUGCUCCGGAGUUGUCAUCACUGGGUCGUAGCGGUUAUCUCCCCAGAGGGCGGUCCUGUCGGGUCGUAGCGGUUAUCUCCCCGACGAUAGGGAUUUGGGUUGGUGAGUUUGUGAGGGCGAAACCUACGGGCUAGCAAUGAGAUUGGGUAAUGAAAAGUUAAUCUUGCAUUCAUCAUGAGCAUUCUAUCGAGCAUAGUUUUAUUUAUCGUUCAGGCAUAUUAACUACAUUUGUUAGUUGGUUAUUAUCUAUUCUUUCUUCUAUUAUGCCUGAUUAGACCUAGUGGGAUAGUCGGCGUGGUUGGUUGUCGAACCCACUGGAAACUUUGUUGUAGUUCUCACCCCACUAUUUCCACAGAGCCGGGACCGAGCGAGCCGGCAGAUGAUCGCGGUAAGGGCAUCGCGCCCUAGGUAGAGACCGCCCGAGAUGGAUUUUAUUUUGUAGUUGCACACCCUUUACUAUCAUCUUUUGUAUUUGAUGAUUUUAGUAUUAUGAACUUGCUUUAAUGAAUGAUGUAAAGGAUAUUUACUUUAAAUGUCAAAAGUUAUAUUUUGG